UAACUAUAAAAAAUAAAAUCA
RNAcentral lists this non-coding RNA (21 nucleotides) under Caenorhabditis elegans. The record is from RNAcentral. Lineage: Eukaryota; Metazoa; Nematoda; Chromadorea; Rhabditida; Rhabditidae.